AAUCAACGCUGGCGGCGUGCCUCAGACAUGCAAGUCGAACGAUUAAAGCUCUCUUCGGAGAGUGCAUAGAGUGGCGCACGGGUGAGUAACACGUAAGUAAUCUACCCUCGAGUGGGGAAUAACGUCCGGAAACGGACGCUAAUACCGCAUAAUGCAGCGGCACCGCAAGGUGACAGUUGUUAAAGAUUUAUCGCUUGAGGAGGAGCUUGCGGCAGAUUAGCUAGUUGGUAAGGUAAUGGCUUACCAAGGCUACGAUCUGUAACCGGUCUUAGAGGACGGUCGGUCACACUGACACUGAAUAACGGGUCAGACUCCUACGGGAGGCAGCAGUCGGGAAUUUUGGGCAAUGGGCGAAAGCCUGACCCAGCAACGCCGCGUGAAGGAUGAAGUAUUUCGG
This 397-nucleotide ribosomal RNA is filed under the name uncultured bacterium. RNAcentral's name for it is "bacterial SSU rRNA". It matches the Rfam family "Bacterial small subunit ribosomal RNA", at positions 32 to 421 of the family's 1533-position model. The record is from RNAcentral.